UGGGGAAUAUUGCACAAUGGGCGCAAGCCUGAUGCAGCCAUGCCGCGUGUGUGAAGAAGGCCUUCGGGUUGUAAAGCACUUUCAGCGAGGAGGAAGGUGGUGAGCUUAAUACGCUCAUCAAUUGACGUUACUCGCAGAAGAAGCACCGGCUAACUCCGUGCCAGCAGCCGCGGUAAUACGGAGGGUGCAAGCGUUAAUCGGAAUUACUGGGCGUAAAGCGCACGCAGGCGGUUUGUUAAGUCAGAUGUGAAAUCCCCGGGCUCAACCUGGGAACUGCAUUUGAAACUGGCAAGCUAGAGUCUCGUAGAGGGAGUAGAAUUCCAGGUGUAGCGGUGAAAUGCGUAGAGAUCUGGAGGAAUACCGGUGGCGAAGGCGGCCCCCUGGACGAAGACUGACGCUCAGGUGCGAAAGCGUGGGGCAGCAGACAGGAUUAGAUACCCUGGUAGUCCACGCUGUAAACGAUGUCGAUUUUGGAGGUUGUGCCCCUUGAGGCGUGGCUUCCGGAGCUAACGCGUUAAAUCGACCGCCUGGGGAGUACGGCC
This 542-nucleotide ribosomal RNA is filed under the name uncultured bacterium. RNAcentral describes it as "partial 16S ribosomal RNA". It matches the Rfam family "Bacterial small subunit ribosomal RNA", at positions 355 to 887 of the family's 1533-position model. The record is from RNAcentral.